RNAcentral lists this ribosomal RNA (764 nucleotides) under uncultured Bacilli bacterium. Its description in RNAcentral is "bacterial SSU rRNA". It matches the Rfam family "Bacterial small subunit ribosomal RNA", at positions 29 to 776 of the family's 1533-position model. The record is from RNAcentral. Lineage: Bacteria; Bacillati; Bacillota; Bacilli.
ACGAACGCUGGCGGCGUGCCUAAUACAUGCAAGUAGAACGCUGAAGAGAGGAGCUUGCUCUUCUUGGAUGAGUUGCGAACGGGUGAGUAACGCGUAGGUAACCUGCCUUGUAGCGGGGGAUAACUAUUGGAAACGAUAGCUAAUACCGCAUAACAAUGGAUGACCCAUGUCAUUUAUUUGAAAGGGGCAAAUGCUCCACUACAAGAUGGACCUGCGUUGUAUUAGCUAGUAGGUGAGGUAACGGCUCACCUAGGCGACGAUACAUAGCCGACCUGAGAGGGUGAUCGGCCACACUGGGACUGAGACACGGCCCAGACUCCUACGGGAGGCAGCAGUAGGGAAUCUUCGGCAAUGGGGGCAACCCUGACCGAGCAACGCCGCGUGAGUGAAGAAGGUUUUCGGAUCGUAAAGCUCUGUUGUAAGUCAAGAACGAGUGUGAGAGUGGAAAGUUCACACUGUGACGGUAGCUUACCAGAAAGGGACGGCUAACUACGUGCCAGCAGCCGCGGUAAUACGUAGGUCCCGAGCGUUGUCCGGAUUUAUUGGGCGUAAAGCGAGCGCAGGCGGUUUGAUAAGUCUGAAGUUAAAGGCUGUGGCUCAACCAUAGUUCGCUUUGGAAACUGUCAAACUUGAGUGCAGAAGGGGAGAGUGGAAUUCCAUGUGUAGCGGUGAAAUGCGUAGAUAUAUGGAGGAACACCGGUGGCGAAAGUGGCUCUCUGGUCUGUAACUGACGCUGAGGCUCGAAAGCGUGGGGAGCGAACAGG